RNAcentral lists this ribosomal RNA (253 nucleotides) under uncultured bacterium. RNAcentral describes it as "partial 16S ribosomal RNA". It matches the Rfam family "Bacterial small subunit ribosomal RNA", at positions 524 to 776 of the family's 1533-position model. The record is from RNAcentral.
UACGUAGGGGGCAAGCGUUGUCCGGAUUUAUUGGGCGUAAAGAGCGUGUAGGCGGCCAUACAGGUCCGUUGUGAAAACUCGAGGCUCAACCUCGAGACGUCGGUGGAAACCGUUUGGCUAGAGUCCGGAAGAGGAGAGUGGAAUUCCCGGUGUAGCGGUGAAAUGCGCAGAUAUCGGGAAGAACACCCGUGGCGAAGGCGGCUCUCUGGGACGGUACUGACGCUGAGACGCGAAAGCGUGGGGAGCGAACAGG